AUGGAUUGUGCUUACAUUUUCAGAUUUGCCCUCUGGCAGCAUGAGGACGAGAGAUGGAGUUGCCGCUGGUGGUGUGAGAUAGACAAUGCCUUUUGGUGCUACUUUUCUAAAGAACAUUCAGGUCUGUCUUCACGCUGCCAUUGCUGUUGCGCCCAUAAUGCAAGCAUAGCUACCAUCAUAAUUUUGGUCUACAAACACCACAACUCAGCAAACGAAAAUGUGGGAGGUUUUGGCAACACUGGUCCGCGAAGAGGACGCAAACACCACAGCUUGAUGGCAGCGACAAAUAGGAAUAGGGGAUGCAUACACUAA
Molecule: ribosomal RNA, 312 nt
Filed under: Triticum aestivum (bread wheat)
Lineage: Eukaryota; Viridiplantae; Streptophyta; Magnoliopsida; Poales; Poaceae
Description: partial small subunit ribosomal RNA
Source: RNAcentral